This 500-nucleotide ribosomal RNA is filed under the name uncultured bacterium. Its description in RNAcentral is "bacterial SSU rRNA". It matches the Rfam family "Bacterial small subunit ribosomal RNA", at positions 15 to 507 of the family's 1533-position model. The record is from RNAcentral.
GAUCAUGGCUCAGGAUGAACGCUAGCUACAGGCUUAACACAUGCAAGUCGAGGGGCAGCAUGAACUUAGCUUGCUAAGUUGAUGGCGACCGGCGCACGGGUGAGUAACACGUAUCCAAACCUGCCGAUGACUCGGGGAUAGCCUUUCGAAAGAAAGAUUAAUACCCGAUGGCAUAGUUCUUCCGCAUGGUGGAACUAUUAAAGAAUUUCGGUCAUCGAUGGGGAUGCGUUCCAUUAGUUUGUUGGCGGGUAACGGCCCACCAAGACUACGAUGGAUAGGGGUUCUGAGAGGAAGGUCCCCCACAUUGGAACUGAGACACGGUCCAAACUCCUACGGGAGGCAGCAGUGAGGAAUAUUGGUCAAUGGACGCGAGUCUGAACCAGCCAAGUAGCGUGAAGGAUGACUGCCCUAUGGGUUGUAAACUUCUUUUAUAUGGGAAUAAAGUGGUCCACGUGUGGAUUUUGUAUGUACCAUAUGAAUAAGGAUCGGCUAACUCCGUG